This 691-nucleotide ribosomal RNA is filed under the name Candidatus Phytoplasma pruni. RNAcentral's name for it is "bacterial SSU rRNA". It matches the Rfam family "Bacterial small subunit ribosomal RNA", at positions 640 to 1339 of the family's 1533-position model. The record is from RNAcentral. Lineage: Bacteria; Bacillati; Mycoplasmatota; Mollicutes; Acholeplasmatales; Acholeplasmataceae.
ACUAGAGUGAGAUAGAGGCAAGCGGAAUUCCAUGUGUAGCGGUAAAAUGCGUAAAUAUAUGGAGGAACACCAGAGGCGUAGGCGGCUUGCUGGGUCUUUACUGACGCUGAGGCACGAAAGCGUGGGGAGCAAACAGGAUUAGAUACCCUGGUAGUCCACGCCGUAAACGAUGAGUACUAAGUGUCGGGUAAAACUGGUACUGAAGUUAACACAUUAAGUACUCCGCCUGAGUAGUACGUACGCAAGUAUGAAACUUAAAGGAAUUGACGGGACUCCGCACAAGCGGUGGAUCAUGUUGUUUAAUUCGAAGAUACACGAAAAACCUUACCAGGUCUUGACAUUUUCUUGCGAAGUUAUAGAAAUAUAAUGGAGGUUAUCAGGAAAACAGGUGGUGCAUGGUUGUCGUCAGCUCGUGUCGUGAGAUGUUAGGUUAAGUCCUAAAACGAGCGCAACCCUUGUCGUUAAUUGCCAGCAUGUAAUGAUGGGGACUUUAACGAGACUGCCAAUGAAAAAUUGGAGGAAGGUGGGGAUUACGUCAAAUCAUCAUGCCCCUUAUGAUCUGGGCUACAAACGUGAUACAAUGGUUGAUACAAAGAGUAGCUGAAACGCGAGUUCUUAGCCAAUCUCAAAAAAUCAAUCUCAGUUCGGAUUGAAGUCUGCAACUCGACUUCAUGAAGUUGGAAUCGCUAGU